GUUAAACUUGAAGAAAUCAAUUACAUGGAAUAUUAUGCUACUUAGAUUUCGAGUUCAAAAGAACAAAUUGGAAUUGUGACGCAUGUGUAUCAUCACUAACACACUGACCAAUUCAAAAGCACCGUAUAUCAAAUCUUAAAGGGUUACAGAUUGUGGUUGAAGCUUUAGGAUAUCAUAGACUGGCGCCAAUUUGUGGUACUUUAAUUUUAUUCUUCUGUACAGAACACAGCUUUAUGUUAAGCUAUCUGGCAGUUCUAGCUCCAAUCCGCAUGCUACUCUACUCGAUGAAAGAAAGGAAAUAACUCCGUAACGGAAUCGACCAAUAUACGGAGUUUGAAUUCCAUAAGCUACGUUUUUCUUUCAAGAAGUUAUCAACGGAAUAACAACGGAUGUGCACGAAUUUUCAAUAUUUUGGAUAUCCGAUAUACUAUUUAUAAAAUUUUUGGAUAUGAAUUUGUUAUAGAUUCAGUGUUGGAAACUAUCGUAUUUGAUGAAUAUUUCCAUGGAAACAAAGCAAUUUUCUAUUUAUUAUGCCAUCUUCAACUGUUUGAAGUUAAAUCUUUUUCUUUGAUCUGGGCUUUGAGGAUCAACUUGAUUUUUACUGAAACAAAUCCUAUUUAAUACUAAAUUGAUUUUUGUAUGUAUCAAAACAGUAUGAUAUGCAUUGAUCGAAACAGAGAAAGCUGAUAUGUGUUUAUACUUUCGUUAGUGAAAAGGGAUAUAAAGUGAAAACAUUCUGAGAUAAAAGAUUGCAUAAAAUUCAGUUGUCUCUGAUAAUUGAAACGAUACAAAUAAAACCAAACAAAACAAAUUACACAAGAGAAAGAGUAUAAAAAAUCAUACAAGUAAGGAUACUUAGUCUCAGAGUGGUAUAAAGGAAUAUUUUUAUCUCGGGUGGAAAGUAGCUGCAUGUGGAUCGAUCAUACUCUGACCAGUUCGUUUAUAGUUAAGCCAUUCGUUUGAUGAUCUACAUAUUAUGACUACCGUUUAAAGAAACUAGGCAAUUUAAACAACAUAACAGUCCCUUGGAUAUCAGAAUUUGAGUAUUUUGAGAGUUUGUUCAUUUCAAAUUUUUGAAACUUUUCUGCUGUAAACAUACGUAUAUCGAUAUACCAACUUGUCUGCAGUAAAUAUACGUAUAUCGAUAUACAAACUUUUAUGAAGUGAAUAUACGCAUAUGAUAUACAAACUUGUCUACAGUAAAAAUACGUUUAGCGAUAUACAAACUUGUCUGCAAUAAAUAUAGGUAUAUCGCUAUAAAAUCAGUAUGUCCGGUCCAUGGAAAGCACUGAAAAAUGUCAAGAAAGCGGUGUCGAAGAAGCCAGUGGCGAAGAAAAAAGCUG
This 1343-nucleotide long non-coding RNA is filed under the name Mytilus galloprovincialis (Mediterranean mussel). The record is from RNAcentral. Lineage: Eukaryota; Metazoa; Mollusca; Bivalvia; Mytilida; Mytilidae.